RNAcentral lists this ribosomal RNA (449 nucleotides) under uncultured bacterium. Its description in RNAcentral is "partial 16S ribosomal RNA". It matches the Rfam family "Bacterial small subunit ribosomal RNA", at positions 29 to 523 of the family's 1533-position model. The record is from RNAcentral.
AACGAACGCUGGCGGCAUGCCUAACACAUGCAAGUCGAACGAGACCUUCGGGUCUAGUGGCGCACGGGUGCGUAACGCGUGGGAAUCUGCCCUUGGGUUCGGGAUAACAGUUGGAAACGACUGCCAAUACCGGAUGAUGUCCUCGGACCAAAGAUUUAUCGCCCAAGGAUGAGCCCGCGUAGGAUUAGCUUGUUGGUGAGGUAAGAGCUCACCAAGGCGACGAUCCUUAGCUGGUCUGAGAGGAUGAUCAGCCACACUGGGACUGAGACACGGCCCAGACUCCUACGGGAGGCAGCAGUGGGGAAUAUUGGACAAUGGGCGAAAGCCUGAUCCAGCAAUGCCGCGUGAGUGAUGAAGGCCUUAGGGUUGUAAAGCUCUUUUACCCGGGAUGAUAAUGACAGUACCGGGAGAAUAAGCCCCGGCUAACUCCGUGCCAGCCGCCGCAGUAA